This 401-nucleotide ribosomal RNA is filed under the name Retusa sp. DTLT2001. RNAcentral's name for it is "partial 28S ribosomal RNA". The record is from RNAcentral. Lineage: Eukaryota; Metazoa; Mollusca; Gastropoda; Cephalaspidea; Retusidae.
UUAAAAAUCAAUCUAAGAGUACGGUGAAACCGCCCAGAGGUAAACGGGUGGAUCCGCAAAGUCGGCCCGCGGAAUUCAGCUCGGCGCGCGGCUCGGGGCUGGUGCGGUUCGGGAUCUUCGGACCCGUCCGUGCCGUCGCACCGGGCUCCGCCGUGUGCACUUUCCGCGGGCAGAGCGCCACGAUCGACUUCGGGACGGUCAGAAGCCCGGGGGGAAGGUAGGUGUGCGCUUCGGCGUGCACUGUUACAGCCCUCCGUGGUGGGCCGUUCUGGGGUCGAGGAACGACCGUCGCCUUUAGGCUGCUCUGUUUUCCGGGGGAGUUCGACUGGCAGGGACUGGGCAACCGUGUCUGCCGACCGCUCUCUUGGACUGAUGGGGACCGCCUGCAUUGGUCUGUGCAA